UACGUAGGGUGCGAGCGUUGUUCGGAAUUACUGGGCGUAAAGGGCUCGUAGGCGGCCAACUAAGUCAGACGUGAAAUCCCUCGGCUUAACCGGGGAACUGCAUCUGAUACUGGAUGGCUUGAGUUCGGGAGAGGGAUGUGGAAUUCCAGGUGUAGCGGUGAAAUGCGUAGAUAUCAGGAAGAACACCCGUGGCGAAGGCGGCUCUCUGGGACGGUACUGACGCUGAGACGCGAAAGCGUGGGGAGCAAACAGG
Molecule: ribosomal RNA, 253 nt
Filed under: uncultured bacterium
Lineage: Bacteria
Description: partial 16S ribosomal RNA
Rfam family: Bacterial small subunit ribosomal RNA
Source: RNAcentral